This is a long non-coding RNA of Lepus europaeus (European hare), 715 nucleotides long. RefSeq lists it as uncharacterized. Lineage: Eukaryota; Metazoa; Chordata; Mammalia; Lagomorpha; Leporidae. The transcript has 4 exons. The record is from RefSeq and is a predicted model, not a curated record.
AGGAAGUAGCCGCAACCAGGCCUCGGGAGAGAGUCUGACGGUGGCAGAGCUCCCGGGAGUCCGGGCUGUUGUGACCCGAGGGCUGGAGUCAUCUACUUUUCCCCCUCAGACACUUAAGUUUCGGGUGAUACCUGUGCAGGGGAAGUGAAUCCCCUCUCACCAUGUCUGGCUGCUGGCGACCCAGAUGCCACGUGAUGGCCAUCUGAAGUGAGGACUGCCGGACAUCAGGUUGCAUGCAAUUCUGGCAUUCAUCUGAUUUGUUGAUACUGGACAUAGCAACAGCUCAAGUGACACUUUGGAGUUGAGCUAUCAAAGCAGCUCACAUCAGUCUGAAACUUUUCAGAAGGCUCAUCACAGAUGCUUAAUGUGCUAGAAAGCUCAGAGUCCACACAAGGAGAGAAGACGCCCGAGGACACACAGCCUCUGAUGACAACUGCAAGCACUCAUGGUGCCACAAGAGUGUGUUACGUCACCUGACCGGCCCCACCGUGGAGGCCAUGUGCUGUACGUAUGUUUUUUGCUGCUGCGUUGUCCUUUGGGUCUGAGAGAAAUGAGACAGAGGGCAGAGCUUAUACCUUGAAGACAGGAUGCAGUCCCGGGAGGCACCUCAUGGUGGCGACAGCGAUGACCUCAGCCACCAGAUGAGUGUUCAGCAAGUGAUACUGGAGCUCAUGCAGCUGGAAAUCUGAAUUUCGGACCCAGGACUUGGCCAGGA